AGUAGCGUUGGGCUUAAAACCCGGAUGUUGAUAGCUUCCAUGAACUGAUCGCCAAGGGACUCUUUGUGAAAUUUUCAAAAGUCUUUGAUGUUCCGAGUGCAAUUGGGCGUCUUCAUGCAUGCGGUCAAGCUAUUCGGGGGAAUGAUGCUUGUAGACAUUAAAUCUGUCGUUGUGGACUGACACGUCUGACAGUCGCCAACAAAACAACAACCGAAAAGCCUUGUCCCGACAGAGCGUAGAGAGUCGUCAAAGCAAUUACAAUUGAACCUCGCAUUGCCCCGUAGACCAUUCUCCAAGGGACCAGAUGUUCCCGGGGUACCCUUCCUUUGUUGCGAAAACCCAUCCCAAGGCACAGC
RNAcentral lists this small RNA (356 nucleotides) under Histoplasma capsulatum var. duboisii H88. RNAcentral's name for it is "Histoplasma capsulatum H88 hypothetical RNA". The record is from RNAcentral. Lineage: Eukaryota; Fungi; Ascomycota; Eurotiomycetes; Onygenales; Ajellomycetaceae.